GCUUUAGUUCUUUGUUUUGCAAGUUAAAAUCGGUAUCAAAAUCCAUUCAAUGAUGACAUGUAGUAGUGUCCCGUGAUUUUACGACUUCACAGCCACUUGAUCAACCUUACACUUCUGGACGAAAACCAUGCAUUGGGACAAUACUUAGCAGGGGAUGCAACACAAAAUGCAACUUUAAAGAAACUAAUAAACUUAAUUUAAAAAUCGGA
This is a long non-coding RNA of Drosophila biarmipes, 209 nucleotides long. RefSeq lists it as uncharacterized. Lineage: Eukaryota; Metazoa; Arthropoda; Insecta; Diptera; Drosophilidae. The transcript is spliced from 2 exons. The record is from RefSeq and is a predicted model, not a curated record.